RNAcentral lists this ribosomal RNA (420 nucleotides) under uncultured bacterium. RNAcentral describes it as "bacterial SSU rRNA". It matches the Rfam family "Bacterial small subunit ribosomal RNA", at positions 359 to 776 of the family's 1533-position model. The record is from RNAcentral.
GAAUAUUGGACAAUGGGCGCAAGCCUGAUCCAGCCAUGCCGCGUGCAGGAUGACGGUCCUAUGGAUUGUAAACUGCUUUUAUACGAGAAGAAACACUCCUACGUGUAGGAGCUUGACGGUAUCGUAAGAAUAAGGAACGGCUAACUCCGUUCCAGCAGCCGCGGGAAUACGGAGGAUCCAAGCGUUAUCCGGAAUCAUUGGGUUUAAAGGGUCCGUAGGCGGUUUAGUAAGUCAGUGGUGAAAGCCCAUCGCUCAACGGUGGAACGGCCAUUGAUACUGCUAGACUUGAAUUAUUAGGAAGUAACUAGAAUAUGUAGUGUAGCGGUGAAAUGCUUAGAGAUUACAUGGAAUACCAAUUGCGAAGGCAGGUUACUACUAAUAUAUUGACGCUGAUGGACGAAAGCGUGGGUAGCGAACAGG